UUUUCAACAGCUUGAGUAUGGGUUCACACGUGGCUGUUAGAUGAGAUGUGAACCAUGACCUGUAGUUCAAUCUACCUAAUAGACCACGAACCUCUUUUUCUGUUCUCGGUUCAGGCAUUUCUUGUUUUUCUUUCUUUUUUUUUCUUCUUUUUUUUUUUUAAACAGGAUCAACCUCGAUUCCUCUCUUACAAUGAACCCCAACAUCUUACCGGACCGCACUCUGAAAGUGCACUUAUUUGAAUUCAACCUCAGUUUGAA
RNAcentral lists this long non-coding RNA (258 nucleotides) under Lathyrus oleraceus (garden pea). RNAcentral describes it as "Pisum sativum (pea) long non-coding RNA (PSAT_LNC024842)". Lineage: Eukaryota; Viridiplantae; Streptophyta; Magnoliopsida; Fabales; Fabaceae. The record is from RNAcentral.